Molecule: ribosomal RNA, 253 nt
Filed under: uncultured bacterium
Lineage: Bacteria
Description: partial 16S ribosomal RNA
Rfam family: Bacterial small subunit ribosomal RNA
Source: RNAcentral
UACGGAGGGUGCAAGCGUUAUCCGGAUUUACUGGGUUUAAAGGGUGUGUAGGCGGACUUUUAAGUCAGCGGUGAAAUCUCCGGGCUCAACCCGGAAACUGCCAUUGAUACUAUUGGUCUUGAAUGUUGUUGAGGUGGGCGGAACGGGUCAUGUAGCGGUGAAAUGCAUAGAUAUGACCCGGAACACCGAUUGCGAAGGCAGCCCACUAAGCAAUGAUUGACGCUGAGGCACGAAAGCGUGGGGAUCGAACAGG